GAUGAACGCUGGCGGCGUGCCUAAUACAUGCAAGUCGAGCGAACGGACGAGAAGCUUGCUUCUCUGAUGUUAGCGGCGGACGGGUGAGUAACACGUGGAUAACCUACCUAUAAGACUGGGAUAACUUCGGGAAACCGGAGCUAAUACCGGAUGAUAUUUUGAACCGCAUGGUUCAAAAGUGAAAGACGGUCUUGCUGUCACUUAUAGAUGGAUCCGCGCUGCAUUAGCUAGUUGGUAAGGUAACGGCUUACCAAGGCAACGAUGCAUAGCCGACCUGAGAGGGUGAUCCGCCACACUGGAACUUAGACACGGGCCAGACCCCUAAGGGAGGGAGGAGUAGGGAAACUUUCGGAAUGGGCGAAAGCCUGACGGAGCAACGCCGCGUGAGUGAUGAAGGUCUUCGGAUCGUAAAACUCUGUUAUUAGGGAAGAACAUAUGUGUAAGUAACUGUGCACAUCUUGACGGUACCUAAUCAGAAAGCCACGGCUAACUACGUG
RNAcentral lists this ribosomal RNA (497 nucleotides) under uncultured bacterium. Its description in RNAcentral is "partial 16S ribosomal RNA". It matches the Rfam family "Bacterial small subunit ribosomal RNA", at positions 28 to 507 of the family's 1533-position model. The record is from RNAcentral.